This 253-nucleotide ribosomal RNA is filed under the name uncultured bacterium. RNAcentral's name for it is "partial 16S ribosomal RNA". It matches the Rfam family "Bacterial small subunit ribosomal RNA", at positions 524 to 776 of the family's 1533-position model. The record is from RNAcentral.
UACAGAGGGUGCAAGCGUUAAUCGGAAUUAUUGGGCGUAAAGCGCACGUAGGUGGGCGAAUAAGUUGGAUGUGAAAGCCCCGGGCUCAACCUGGGAAUUGCAUACAAUACUGUUCGUCUAGAGUAUGGGAGAGGGAAGUGGAAUUUCUGGUGUAGCGGUGAAAUGCGUAGAUAUCAGAAGGAACAUCAGUGGCGAAGGCGACUUCCUGGCCUAAUACUGACACUAAGGUGCGAAAGCGUGGGGAGCAAACAGG